AUGGCCCUGAAUCAAUGCCAGCAUUUUGUUGUAGCUGUUGGUUUCUGACAGGAACUUAAAAAGAAAUCUUUCUAGGGUUUGUUGACCAUUUCAGAACUUUGGAAAGAUAAUGGUCAAUUCAUUAGAAAGAAAUUGCU
Cavia aperea (Brazilian guinea pig) is the source of this 137-nucleotide small nucleolar RNA. The record is from Ensembl. NCBI's taxonomy places the organism in Eukaryota, Metazoa, Chordata, Mammalia, Rodentia, Caviidae.